This 253-nucleotide ribosomal RNA is filed under the name uncultured prokaryote. RNAcentral's name for it is "partial 16S ribosomal RNA". It matches the Rfam family "Bacterial small subunit ribosomal RNA", at positions 524 to 776 of the family's 1533-position model. The record is from RNAcentral.
UACAGAGGGUGCAAGCGUUAUUCGGAAUCACUGGGCGUAAAGAGUUCGUAGGCGGUUUGUUAAGUUUAAUGUGAAAGCCUCAGGCUCAAUCUGAGAAGUGCAUUAGAUACUGGCAAGCUAGAGUGCAGGAGAGGAAGGCGGAAUUCCAGGUGUAGAGGUGAAAUUCGUAGAUAUCUGGAGGAACAACAGAGGCGAAGGCGGCCUUCUGGACUGUCACUGACGCUGAGGAACGAAAGCGUGGGGAGCAAACAGG